AUAGAACGCUGGCGGCAGGCUUAGCACAUGCAAGUCGAGCGGGGUGAUGGUGCUUGCACUAUCACUUAGCGGCGGACGGGUGAGUAAUGCUUAGGAAUCUGCCUAUUAGUGGGGGACAACAUCUCGAAAGGGAUGCUAAUACCGCAUACGUCCUACGGGAGAAAGCAGGGGAUCACUUGUGACCUUGCGCUAAUAGAUGAGCCUAAGUCGGAUUAGCUAGUUGGUGGGGUAAAGGCCUACCAAGGCGACGAUCUGUAGCGGGUCUGAGAGGAUGAUCCGCCACGCUGGGACUGAGACACGGCCCAGAAUCCGACGGGAGGCAGCAGUGGGGAAUAUUGGACAAUGGGGGGAACCCUGAUCCAGCCAUGCCGCGUGUGUGAAGAAGGCCUUAUGGUUGUAAAGCACUUUAAGCGAGGAGGAGGCUCUUUUGGUUAAUACCCAAGAUGAGUGGGCGUUACUCGCAGAAUAAGCACCGGCUAACUCUGUGCCAGCCGCCGCAGUAA
Molecule: ribosomal RNA, 503 nt
Filed under: uncultured bacterium
Lineage: Bacteria
Description: partial 16S ribosomal RNA
Rfam family: Bacterial small subunit ribosomal RNA
Source: RNAcentral